Molecule: ribosomal RNA, 419 nt
Filed under: bacterium
Lineage: Bacteria
Description: partial 16S ribosomal RNA
Rfam family: Bacterial small subunit ribosomal RNA
Source: RNAcentral
UGGGGGAUAUUGCACAAUGGGCGAAAGCCUGAUGCAGCGACGCCGCGUGGGGGAUGAAGGCCUUCGGGUUGUAAACUUCUUUUGCUCUGAACAAGGCGCACCAUGGGGUGUGUUGAGUGUAGGGGUUGAUUAGCGCCGGCUAACUACGUGCCAGCAGCCGCGGUAAUACGUAGGGCGCGAGCGUUGUCCGGAAUUAUUGGGCGUAAAGGGCUUGUAGGUGGCUGGUUGCGUCUGUCGUGAAAGCUCAUGGCUUAACUGUGGGUUUGCGGUGGGUACGGGCUGGCUUGAGUGCAGUAGGGGAGGCUGGAAUUCCUGGUGUAGCGGCGGAAUGCGCAGAUAUCAGGAGGAAUACCGGUGGCGAAGGCGGGUCUCUGGGCUGUUACUGACACUGAGGAGCGAAAGCAUGGGGAGCGAACAGG